RNAcentral lists this ribosomal RNA (363 nucleotides) under uncultured Sphingobacteriales bacterium. RNAcentral describes it as "bacterial SSU rRNA". It matches the Rfam family "Bacterial small subunit ribosomal RNA", at positions 1019 to 1382 of the family's 1533-position model. Lineage: Bacteria; Pseudomonadati; Bacteroidota; Sphingobacteriia; Sphingobacteriales. The record is from RNAcentral.
CUUCGGAGCAUUUUACGAGGUGCUGCAUGGUUGUCGUCAGCUCGUGCCGUGAGGUGUCGGGUUAAGUCCCAUAACGAGCGCAACCCCUACCUUAGUUGCCAUCAGGUAAUGCUGGGGACUCUAAAGGAACUGCCUACGCAAGUAGUGAGGAAGGCGGGGAUGACGUCAAAUCAGCAGGCCCUUACGUCCAGGGCUACACACGUGCUACAAUGGCCGAUACAGAGGGCAGCUACCUGGUGACAGGAUGCAAAUCUACCAAAGUCGGUCUCAGUUCGGAUCGGAGUCUGCAACCCGACUCCGUGAAGUUGGAUUCGCUAGUAAUCGCGCAUCAGCCAUGGCGCGGUGAAUACGUUCCCGGGCCUU